This 468-nucleotide ribosomal RNA is filed under the name uncultured bacterium. Its description in RNAcentral is "partial 16S ribosomal RNA". It matches the Rfam family "Bacterial small subunit ribosomal RNA", at positions 28 to 507 of the family's 1533-position model. The record is from RNAcentral.
GACGAACGCUGGCGGCGUGCUUAACACAUGCAAGUCGAACGGAAAGGCCCUGCUUUUGUGGGGUGCUCGAGUGGCGAACGGGUGAGUAACACGUGAGUAACCUGCCCUUGACUUUGGGAUAACUUCAGGAAACUGGGGCUAAUACCGGAUAGGAGCUCCUGCUGCAUGGUGGAGGUUGGAAAGUUUCGGCGGUUGGGGAUGGACUCGCGGCUUAUCAGCUUGUUGGUGGGGUAGUGGCUUACCAAGGCUUUGACGGGUAGCCGGCCUGAGAGGGUGACCGGGCACAUGGGGACGGGGAACGGGCCCAGCCCCCUAGGGGGGGCAGAGGGGGGAAUUUUUGCACAAGGGGGGGAAGCGUGAGGAGGCACCCCCGGGGGGGGGAGGAGGGCUUUGGGUUGGAAAACGGUUUUCGCAGGGGACGAAGGGGGAGGGAGGGUAAGGGAUAAGAAAGCCCCGGCUAACUCCGUG